UCUAGCCUCGCGUAGUUUUUGUUUGAUAAUAUGGCAGAACCUACAAUGAUUGUAAUAGGAAGCCAACGGCUUUUUGGUGUGCACGCCCUCCGGCAUAGUACGAUUGAGGGAAGCCUAAAAAAAGGUCACAAGGCUACCACUUUUUGAAAAGUGGGUUUCUCCUAUGUAUAAAAAAUACGCGAGGUGUUUU
Molecule: non-coding RNA, 190 nt
Filed under: Silvanigrella aquatica
Lineage: Bacteria; Pseudomonadati; Bdellovibrionota; Oligoflexia; Silvanigrellales; Silvanigrellaceae
Description: 6S RNA
Rfam family: 6S / SsrS RNA
About the family: E. coli 6S RNA was the first non coding RNA to be sequenced, but its function was unknown until recently. It consists of 184 nucleotides that fold into an extended hairpin structure with a large single-stranded internal bulge.
Source: RNAcentral